This is an RNA transcript of Folsomia candida, 3561 nucleotides long. It is a transcript of the gene named ankyrin repeat, SAM and basic leucine zipper domain-containing protein 1, with no coding region annotated. Lineage: Eukaryota; Metazoa; Arthropoda; Collembola; Entomobryomorpha; Isotomidae. The record is from RefSeq and is a predicted model, not a curated record. The transcript is spliced from 9 exons.
UGCGGGUUUUGGGUUCGAGUCGUGCACAGCGAACUCUCCACAAAUUCUUUCAUCUAAAUUUCCAAUUUUGCAUAUUUCAAGCCGGCAUCAUUUCUUAAAUUCCUGUGCAAAUUAAGCCGUUUUGGGACAAGACGUUCUCAUCGUCCUUCGGAAUCUUGGAAUAGGUUUACAAGCUAAUUCAACAGGAAUAAUUGAGCCGUUUUGGGACAAGAGGUUUUCAUCCUCCUUCUGAAUCUUGGAAUAGGUUUACAAACUGAUACAAUCAGGAAAUUGAUCAGUGGUGGGACAAGACGUUUUGAUUGUCAUCUUCUUCCUGGAUCUGGUAAUGGACUAUUACUAAUAGUUUUAUAAGCUAAUACAAUCAGAUUUGGGACACGACAAUUUCCUACUCCUCCUUCGUCUUCCGAUAGCUUUAAGGAAAUAUAAUCAGGAAAUAGUAAUUAAUCAGUUUUGUAACAAGCCAAUUUCCUCCUCCUGCAUCUUCUAAUAAUUUUACCACCAAUACAUACAAUCAGGUGCUAUAAUUGUUAACUAUAAUUAACCAGUGAGGUUUGGGACAAGACAAUUUCCUCCUCUUCCCGGGCCUUCUAAUAUAUAGCUUUUCAAUCAGCAACGAUAAGAUGGAGGUCAAUCGAAACUCUGCCCAGCCAGUCCGACCCCCCACGAUUCGCCCGGCCGGAGAAAGUGACGAGUACAGCAGUGACGGCGAAGGUUACGAAAUGUCCGGUCCAGUCAGGAACAAGAAGAAGAACACGUUCUUCCCAAAACCAACCAUCGUCCCGGCCAACACAAAUGGACGAAUUCAUUAUGACGAAGACGAGUGGGGAUCGGUGCCUUCUUCAAAUAAUUAUACGGAUUAUUAUUCGUCACAACCCGUCCCGCCAGAACCGGUGGUUAUCUCGACAUCCGAAUCAGCAAGGAUUGCUUGUUCACGAGGCGAAAUUAAUAAGGUGCAGAAGCUCUUAGACGAUGGCUCCAUCCAAAUAAACUGCUGCCUCCCCGACGACACCACGCCACUAAUCACUGCCUCCGCCUACGCUUAUCCCGCCCUCGUUGAAUUUCUCAUCGAAAAGGGCGCCGACGUUACCCACUUCAGCCACGGUUUAGACAAAACCACCCCCCUCAUCGCCGCCGUCUCCUGCACGCGCCCCUCCGCCACGGAGGACGACGUUCUCGCCUGUGUCAAACUCCUCGUCGAGAAAGGCUCCCCCCUCAACACGCAAGGUCACUCCGCCCUCACCGCGCUCGUCAUCGCCAUAAAACGUCGCCACGAUCGACACGCCGUUGCCGAAUAUCUCCUCCAACACGGCGCCAACCCCGACGUCCUAGAUUUCGCCGGGCGAACCCCACUCUUCCACGCGGCGGAAGUCGGCGAUGGAAAAUCCUGCCGUUUACUCCUCGAACACAACGCCAACGUCAACAUCAUCGACGACAGCGGGUGGUCCUGCCUCGACGUCGCGGGGGAUAAAGGAUUCUACGCGCUGAGCGAGCUACUCUACAAAGUCCGCAUCACAAAAUGGAAACCCGGGCAAGAUCCCGCUCUCAUGAAGGAGAUUAAGGACGCUACAACGCGCGCCAAAGAGAUGGCCGCGGGGGAAGGGGGUGCCCCACAAAUUCGGGAAGAUUCUCAAAUCGAAAUGCUCCUCAGUGCCAUCAAUGCGGAAAAAUAUAAGGAAAAUUUCCGCCAGCAUAAAGUCACCUACUUCCAAUUUCUCCAGUUUGACGAGGAAGAUCUCAAAGCUGUCGGGAUUGAGGAGGUCGGGAUCCGGAAAAAGGUGAUGGAAUCAAUCCGCGAAGCGCACAGUACGGAUUGGGCGAGAUCUUCGGUGAAUAUGGUGCCCGUUAAUAAAAGAUGUACCGGAACGGAAACCGUUUGUAUCGUGAAUAACAUCAAUUUUCAUGUGGAACAUAUUCACACGACGAUUCGCACGUUGACCAAGAGGAUUUUGAAGGACCCGACGAGUCUCCGGUUGGGGAGGGAAAGGAGCCAGAUUUCAAGUAUUUUGUCGCGGCUGAAGGACUUGGAUAAGAAUAAUUUUAUCCUGCAUGAAGAACUGUUGAAGAUGAAGCAACUUUUUGAUAGGCUGAAGAACAAUGCGGAACUUCAGCUCGGUGAUAAGUUUGAAUUGGAACCGAACGAUAUGCAAGAAUUUCUCGAGAGGUGGAAUGCUGUCGAUAAGAGUAAGGAUAAGAAGAAGGCGAAUGGAGGGAAGAAAUGGGCGUUAUUGGGGGUGGGAGGUGCCUUAUUUGUUACGGCGAUUGCUUGGAAGUCCUGGUCUCGAUGAUGACUCCGGUGCUAAUCAAAUAUUUUCUACAUAGAUGACCUAUUUUUAAUAUGUACCGCUGACUCAGAAUGGAAGUCUCCUAGCUCCUCCAUUGUCCGUCGUGUUCAGAUAUUUAAAUGAUCUUACUUAUAAGAUACUUGUUACUCGUAUAUAUACUUUUAAACUGGUUAACCCUUAGCCAUGGGAGACCGUUUAAAAACGUUUUGGAGUUUUUGUUUUAAUUCGGGAUGCCGUGAAAAGCCGUUCAUAAAAAAAAUGUCUGCCUUCGGGGUCAACGGCUUUUCACGUUUUCACGUUUCCAUGUCAGGUGCGGGACAACGGAUAUUUCCGUGGUAAAAAUUAUUUAGCUGAUUCGGGAAACGGCAAAACACGUUGGCACUAAAAACUAAAAUUAUUAGGGCCUUGGAUCAGAAUUGUCCGUGGUAACACUAGGUCACUUUCAUGUAACUUCGCCCCAGCUUUGCAUUGGAUGGGUUGCAUGCAAAAUUUUUGACUCUGGUUUACUAACUGCUAACACUUAUUUAGGAUACAAAAUAUGUAUGAGGUACAACCAGUGACGCCAAUAAAUAAAGGGCUAUAUACACUUUAAAUCAUUCAUUAAUUAUCCAAGUGAUCUCCUGGUCUAGACUGACUUCUUGGUUGCAUUUAAAAAUUAAAAUAUGACGUAAGUAUGCAUAAGGUUAGUCAGAACUCUUGAUCCAAGUUUAAAAAAAUUCACUAUGGAUGUUAUGCAAGUCCACAAACAUGUGGGGUUUGGGACAAUAGCUUUACAAAUUUCAGUUUUGCAUAAUCAUAAUUUUGCACCAUAGUCAGAGUCAUAGUUCAUAAUUAACUCGUCAUAAUUCUCUAAUUAUCAUGCAACUUUGCUUUACAAUGUUACAUUAUUAAAUUUUAAUAUUCAUCAUUUUAAAUAUUAUAUUUAUUGACUUUGUCCCGCACCUAAUUUUCUCCCGUGUUUUGCCGUUCUCCCGAAUUGAGCAUUUAAAAAAUCCUCCCGAAUCUAAGCAACUCAAAUAUCAAAAGUUUCCAGAUUUGGAACUUGUGAGAUUUUAAUUAUUUUUCGGCUUCCCGAAUGACAACUAUUGUGGUCAACGAAACGCCCCGCAACAACGCCAAACAUAGUUACCGUUUUCCCUCGGCUAAGGGUUAAUUAUUAAACUUAAUAAUUAUGAGAAUUGGUAUUUAACUAUUUAAUAAGUAUAGUUUUUUACAUAGAAAGGAAAGCUAUUGUUACCAACUCGUCUAUAAUAAUAAACCGAUUAAUUACUAAACUGAA